Long non-coding RNA from Peromyscus leucopus (white-footed mouse), 836 nucleotides. RefSeq lists it as uncharacterized. The record is from RefSeq and is a predicted model, not a curated record. NCBI's taxonomy places the organism in Eukaryota, Metazoa, Chordata, Mammalia, Rodentia, Cricetidae. The transcript is spliced from 2 exons.
UGAGCACAGCAAACGCCCGAGUGCCCAGUGAGACUGCGUGCCUGAGCGGCCAGCGGUGACGAAUGCUCCUCUCUUUGCCCCUGCUUGUGCCCACCUGAAUCUUAUAAGAAUGGCUCCCGAAUAGCAUCUGCUAACCAAAAGGAAGCACAGCUGUUCGCCUGUGACCACAGGAGGAAAACCCAAGCACACAGCCGCCAAGUUGAUAAGAAUUAACUGAAAUAGAAGACCUUUGUGGAGCAGGAGAGCAACCACGGUGACUCUGCUCUAGCGUUUCAACUCAGUGCACGAGACUGGUUGUGGAUCAUUACAGAACAUUAGAAUGUUUCUCAGCAUGUGGCAUGUUCUACAGAGUCCGAGCCAUCGGUACUACCCGUAGGGAAUUUUCUCUAGGCAUGUCUUCUUUUCCUCUCUCAUCCAGAUUUGAACAUGUGAAAAGGGAGAAACUUCUAUCAAUAUGUGAACUCCGGAUUAGAAGCAUGAAGGCCCAAGAGAGCAGAGUAUGCUGGGUGAUGGAACACCAAUCAGUCAAAAAGACCAUGAGAGGAACCAAGUACUGACCAGAAACAAUGAGGUGAAAUUAUCGGGAUUCUAGAAACACCCUGCAUGGGGCACAGUAAGGCAUCUGGAGAGGCUGAGAGACAUAAGCACUUGCUAAGAGCCUUUCUGGGGCUGGGCCUCUUGCAGGGGCUGGGCUCUGCUGGAAAAAUCUUACAGUGCACUGCACCUAUAGUUCCAUAGUAAAGUAAGCUAAUGACAACAGGGUCUAGGUGGGAGACCACUUACAUUUUAAUUCAUGUUAGAAGUGGGUAUCAAUACAAAAUACAGUUUCUACUGAA